GACGAACGCUGGCGGCGUGCCUAAUACAUGCAAGUAGAACGCUGAAGGAGGAGCUUGCUUCUCCGGAUGAGUUGCGAACGGGUGAGUAACGCGUAGGUAACCUGCCUGGUAGCGGGGGAUAACUAUUGGAAACGAUAGCUAAUACCGCAUAAGAGUAGAUGUCGCAUGACAUUUGCUUAAAAGGUGCAACUGCACCACUACCAGAUGGCCCUGCGUUGUAUUAGCUAGUUGGUGAGGUAACGGCUCACCAAGGCAACGAUACAUAGCCGACCUGAGAGGGUGAUCGGCCACACUGGGACUGAGACACGGCCCAGACUCCUACGGGAGGCAGCAGGAGGGAAUCUUCGGCAAUGGACGGAAGUCUGACCGAGCAACGCCGCGUGAGGGAAGAAGGGUGUCGGAUCGUAAAGCUCUGUUGUAAGAGAAGAACGAGUGUGAGAGUGGAAAGUUCACACUGUGACGGUAUCUUACCAGAAAGGGACGGCUAACUACGUG
This 495-nucleotide ribosomal RNA is filed under the name uncultured bacterium. Its description in RNAcentral is "partial 16S ribosomal RNA". It matches the Rfam family "Bacterial small subunit ribosomal RNA", at positions 28 to 507 of the family's 1533-position model. The record is from RNAcentral.